Small nucleolar RNA from Gossypium raimondii (Peruvian cotton), 107 nucleotides. It matches the Rfam family "Plant small nucleolar RNA R71". From Rfam's summary of the family: R71 is a member of the C/D box family of snoRNAs containing the C (UGAUGA) and D (CUGA) box motifs. Multiple nearly identical copies of this snoRNA have been identified in Arabidopsis, and it is thought to function as a 2'-O-ribose methylation guide for 18S ribosomal RNA. The record is from Rfam. Lineage: Eukaryota; Viridiplantae; Streptophyta; Magnoliopsida; Malvales; Malvaceae.
AAACCAUGCAUCGAGCAUUUUCUGAUUAACUCCUUGGAUCGCUCUCAUGCUUCAUAUAAUGUUUCGCCCUCAGAUUGCUGAAAGGACUUAAUAUCAUUCUUCAAUUU